AACGAACGCUGGCGGCAGGCUUAACACAUGCAAGUCGAACGCCCCGCCAGGGGAGUGGCCGACGGGUGAGUAACGCGUGGGAACAUACCCUUUUCUACGGAAUAGCUCUGGGAAACUGGAAUUAAUACCGUAUACGCCCUACGGGGGAAAUAUUUAUCGGGGAAGGAUUGGCCCGCGUUGGAUUGGCUAGUUGGUGGGGUAAAGGCCUACCAAGGCGACGAUCCAUAGCUGGUCUGAGAGGAUGAUCAGCCACAUUGGGACUGAGACACGGCCCAAACUCCUACGGGAGGCAGCAGUGGGGAAUAUUGGACAAUGGGCGCAAGCCUGAGACAGCCAUGACGCGUGAGUGAUGAAGGCCUUAGGGUUGUAAAGCUCUUUCACCGAUGAAGAUAAUGACGGUAGUAGGAGAAGAAGCCCCGGCUAACUUCGUG
RNAcentral lists this ribosomal RNA (431 nucleotides) under uncultured bacterium. Its description in RNAcentral is "partial 16S ribosomal RNA". It matches the Rfam family "Bacterial small subunit ribosomal RNA", at positions 29 to 507 of the family's 1533-position model. The record is from RNAcentral.